Molecule: ribosomal RNA, 197 nt
Filed under: uncultured bacterium
Lineage: Bacteria
Description: partial 16S ribosomal RNA
Rfam family: Bacterial small subunit ribosomal RNA
Source: RNAcentral
ACGCUCGACACCUACGGGAGGCAGCAGUGGGGAAUAUUGCACAAUGGGGGAAACCCUGAUGCAGCGACGCCGCGUGAAGGAAGAAGUAUUUCGGUAUGUAAACUUCUAUCAGCAGGGAAGAAAAUGACGGUACCUGACUAAGAAGCCCCGGCUAACUACGUGCCGCAGCCGCGGUAAUCUGAGCGGGCUGGCAAGGC